This 440-nucleotide ribosomal RNA is filed under the name uncultured Pseudonocardia sp. RNAcentral describes it as "bacterial SSU rRNA". It matches the Rfam family "Bacterial small subunit ribosomal RNA", at positions 341 to 792 of the family's 1533-position model. Lineage: Bacteria; Bacillati; Actinomycetota; Actinomycetes; Pseudonocardiales; Pseudonocardiaceae. The record is from RNAcentral.
ACGGGAGGCAGCAGUGGGGAAUAUUGCGCAAUGGGCGGAAGCCUGACGCAGCGACGCCGCGUGGGGGAUGACGGCCUUCGGGUUGUAAACCUCUUUCGGCCCCGACGAAGCGUGAGUGACGGUAGGGGUAGAAGAAGCACCGGCCAACUACGUGCCAGCAGCCGCGGUAACACGUAGGGUGCGAGCGUUGUCCGGAAUUAUUGGGCGUAAAGAGCUCGUAGGCGGUGUGUCGCGUCGGCCGUGAAAACCUGUGGCUUAACUGUGGGCUUGCGGUCGAUACGGGCAUCACUGGAGUUCGGCAGGGGAGACUGGAAUUCCUGGUGUAGCGGUGAAAUGCGCAGAUAUCAGGAGGAACACCGGUGGCGAAGGCGGGUCUCUGGGCCGAUACUGACGCUGAGGAGCGAAAGCGUGGGGAGCGAACAGGAUUAGAUACCCUGGUA